AGGGGCCUGGACAGUGAAUCCACUCUGGGCAAGUGGCAAGACAAGGGAGCAUGUUCCGGGUGGACAAGAACACAAGAACACAAUCUCUUGUUGGUCUGAGUUCUGCUGGCCGGCUACCCUCCUUGACACUGUUCGGUCCCGGACUGACCUCCAGGGACUGAAUCACCCAGGCUCCCUCGCGCUCUGACUUCUGAGGCUCCAACAGGAGGAUCAGCCUGGUCUUUGAAGGGGGCGCCAAGCAGUGCUGGGAUAUUUGGGCUCGCUGGAGACUAGCUUCUAUAGAUUUG
Molecule: long non-coding RNA, 287 nt
Filed under: Mustela putorius furo (domestic ferret)
Lineage: Eukaryota; Metazoa; Chordata; Mammalia; Carnivora; Mustelidae
Description: lncRNA (ENSMPUG00000029826.1)
Source: RNAcentral